CGGGUCCUGAGCUGCUGCUGGACUCCAACAUUCGCCUCUGGGUGGUCCUACCCAUCGUCAUCAUCACCUUCUUCGUGAGGAUGAUCCGCCAUUACGUGUCUAUCCUGUUGCAGAGCGAUAAGAAGCUCACCCAGGAGCAAGUGUCUGACAGUCAAGUCCUCAUUCGGAGCAGAGUCCUCAGGGAAAAUGGAAAAUACAUCCCCAAACAGUCUUUCUUGACCAGAAAAUACUACUUCAACAACCCAGAGGAUGGAUUUUUCAAAAAAACCAAACGGAAGGUAGUUCCUCCUUCUCCUAUGACUG
Molecule: long non-coding RNA, 303 nt
Organism: Suncus etruscus (white-toothed pygmy shrew)
Lineage: Eukaryota; Metazoa; Chordata; Mammalia; Eulipotyphla; Soricidae
Exons: 3
Source: RefSeq, a predicted model, not a curated record